GACGAACGCGGCGGCGUGCCUAAUACAUGCAAGUAGAACGCUGAAGGAGGAGCUUGCUUCUCUGGAUGAGUUGCGAACGGGUGAGUAACGCGUAGGUAACCUGCCUGGUAGCGGGGGAUAACUAUUGGAAACGAUAGCUAAUACCGCAUAACAGUAGAUGUUGCAUGACAUUUGCUUAAAAGGUGCAAUUGCAUCACUACCAGAUGGACCUGCGUUGUAUUAGCUAGUUGGUGGGGUAACGGCUCACCAAGGCGACGAUACAUAGCCGACCUGAGAGGGUGAUCGGCCACACUGGGACUGAGACACGGCCCAGACUCCUACGGGAGGCAGCAGUAGGGAAUCUUCGGCAAUGGACGGAAGUCUGACCGAGCAACGCCGCGUGAGUGAAGAAGGUUUUCGGAUCGUAAAGCUCUGUUGUAAGAGAAGAACGAGUGUGAGAGUGGAAAGUUCACACUGUGACG
Molecule: ribosomal RNA, 461 nt
Filed under: Streptococcus mitis
Lineage: Bacteria; Bacillati; Bacillota; Bacilli; Lactobacillales; Streptococcaceae
Description: bacterial SSU rRNA
Rfam family: Bacterial small subunit ribosomal RNA
Source: RNAcentral